CGUAGGGUGCGAGCGUUAAUCGGAAUUACUGGGCGUAAAGCGUGCGCAGGCGGUUUUGUAAGACAGGCGUGAAAUCCCCGGGCCAACCUGGGAACUGCGCUUGUGACUGCAAGGCUAGAGUACGGCAGAGGGGGUGGAAUUCCACGUGUAGCAGUGAAAUGCGUAGAGAUGUGGAGGAACACCAAUGGCGAAGGCAGCCCCCUGGGUCGAUACUGACGCUCAUGCACGAAAGCGUGGGUAGCAAACAGGAUUAGAUACCCUGGUAGUCCACGCCCUAAACGAUGUCAACUAGGUGUUGGGUGGGUAAAACCAUUUAGUACCGGAGCUAACGCGUGAAGUUGACCGCCUGGGGAGUACGGCCGCAAGGUUA
RNAcentral lists this ribosomal RNA (370 nucleotides) under uncultured organism. Its description in RNAcentral is "bacterial SSU rRNA". It matches the Rfam family "Bacterial small subunit ribosomal RNA", at positions 526 to 896 of the family's 1533-position model. The record is from RNAcentral.